RNAcentral lists this ribosomal RNA (469 nucleotides) under uncultured bacterium. RNAcentral's name for it is "partial 16S ribosomal RNA". It matches the Rfam family "Bacterial small subunit ribosomal RNA", at positions 28 to 507 of the family's 1533-position model. The record is from RNAcentral.
GAUGAACGCUGGCGGCGUGCUUAACACAUGCAAGUCGAACGAUGAAGCUGGAGCUUGCUCUGGUGGAUUAGUGGCGAACGGGUGAGUAACACGUGAGCAACCUGCCCCUGACUCCGGGAUAACAGCCGGAAACGGCUGCUAAUACCGGAUAUGCACCAUGAACGCAUGUUCUGUGGUGGGAAAGAUUCUUCGGUUGGGGAUGGGCUCGCGGCCUAUCAGCUUGUUGGUGGGGUAAUGGCUCACCAAGGCGUCGACGGGUAGCCGGCCUGAGAGGGUGACCGGCCACACUGGGACUGAGACACGGCCCAGACUCCUACGGGAGGCAGCAGUGGGGAAUAUUGCACAAUGGGCGAAAGCCUGAUGCAGCAACGCCGCGUGAGGGAUGACGGCCUUCGGGUUGUAAACCUCUUUUAGCAGGGAAGAAGCGAGAGUGACGGUACCUGCAGAAAAAGCGCCGGCUAACUACGUG